Molecule: ribosomal RNA, 1372 nt
Filed under: uncultured bacterium
Lineage: Bacteria
Description: bacterial SSU rRNA
Rfam family: Bacterial small subunit ribosomal RNA
Source: RNAcentral
GAUGAACGCUGGCGGCGUGCCUAAUACAUGCAAGUCGAGCGAACAGACGAGGAGCUUGCUCCUUUGACGUUAGCGGCGGACGGGUGAGUAACACGUGGGUAACCUACCUAUAAGACUGGGAUAACUUCGGGAAACCGGAGCUAAUACCGGAUAAUAUUUCGAACCGCAUGGUUCGAUAGUGAAAGAUGGCUUUGCUAUCACUUAUAGAUGGACCUGCGCCGUAUUAGCUAGUUGGUAAGGUAACGGCUUACCAAGGCAACGAUACGUAGCCGACCUGAGAGGGUGAUCGGCCACACUGGAACUGAGACACGGUCCAGACUCCUACGGGAGGCAGCAGUAGGGAAUCUUCCGCAAUGGGCGAAAGCCUGACGGAGCAACGCCGCGUGAGUGAUGAAGGUCUUCGGAUCGUAAAACUCUGUUAUUAGGGAAGAACAAACGCGUAAGUAACUGUGCACGUCUUGACGGUACCUAAUCAGAAAGCCACGGCUAACUACGUGCCAGCAGCCGCGGUAAUACGUAGGUGGCAAGCGUUAUCCGGAAUUAUUGGGCGUAAAGCGCGCGUAGGCGGUUUUUUAAGUCUGAUGUGAAAGCCCACGGCUCAACCGUGGAGGGUCAUUGGAAACUGGAAAACUUGAGUGCAGAAGAGGAAAGUGGAAUUCCAUGUGUAGCGGUGAAAUGCGCAGAGAUAUGGAGGAACACCAGUGGCGAAGGCGACUUUCUGGUCUGUAACUGACGCUGAUGUGCGAAAGCGUGGGGAUCAAACAGGAUUAGAUACCCUGGUAGUCCACGCCGUAAACGAUGAGUGCUAAGUGUUAGGGGGUUUCCGCCCCUUAGUGCUGCAGCUAACGCAUUAAGCACUCCGCCUGGGGAGUACGACCACAAGGUUGAAACUCAAAGGAAUUGACGGGGACCCGCACAAGCGGUGGAGCAUGUGGUUUAACUCGAAGCAACGCGAAGAACCUUACCAAAUCUUGACAUCCUUUGACCCUUCUAGAGAUAGAAGUUUCCCCUUCGGGGGACAAAGUGACAGGUGGUGCAUGGUUGUCGUCAGCUCGUGUCGUGAGAUGUUGGGUUAAGUCCCGCAACGAGCGCAACCCUUAAGCUUAGUUGCCAUCAUUAAGUUGGGCACUCUAAGUUGACUGCCGGUGACAAACCGGAGGAAGGUGGGGAUGACGUCAAAUCAUCAUGCCCCUUAUGAUUUGGGCUACACACGUGCUACAAUGGACAAUACAAAGGGCAGCGAAACCGCGAGGUCAAGCAAAUCCCAUAAAGUUGUUCUCAGUUCGGAUUGUAGUCUGCAACUCGACUACAUGAAGCAGGAAUCGCUAGUAAUCGUAGAUCAGCAUGCUACGGUGAAUACGUUCCCGGGUCU